AAAAUGACAUCAUUAGUUCCAAUACCACCCCGCGCCAUCUCCGUUCCAGUACAAAGGCUGUAUCUCGAGCCUUCCCACAUCCGUCUCCCUACCAAUUUAAUAUAAUUUAAGGUUUUCUCGUGUAGAUAAGCAUUCUAGCCAGUCUGAUUCAUUUGUACCAAGGAACAGAUAGUCAUUGUUCUAAACUCUUGACCACAUUCACACAUUAUAUUCGGUACUGGGAUCAGAUAAGAAAAUUCAUACAUAUACAGUAACAUUUAGUAUUCUGAUUAGUACAUCCUGAUUGAAAUGUAUACAUAAUCAGUCAUUAUAGAUAAAAAUUCCCUUAACACUUUGUGACUGUCUCCACUGCAAAGUGAAGUGGAUGUUGUAAAUAUGAAGAUGUACAUUCUUCAUGUUGUAAAUGUAGUUAUAGAUUUGUGUGGGUUACUAAACCGCAUUAUCUCUCCAGGUUGAAUGAUUGCAACCUAACUGAGAAAUCCUGUGAGGUGCUGGCUUUAACUCUCAGCUCAAACACCUCAAGUUUGAGAGAGCUAGACCUGGGAGGAAAUGAACUCCAGGAUUCAGGAGUGAGAUUCAUCUGUGCUGGACUUGAGAAUCCACAAUGUAAAUUGGAGACACUGAGGCUGUCAGGCUGCAGCAUCACAGAGGAAGGUUGUACUUCUCUGGCUUCAGCUCUGAGGUCAAACCCCUCCCACCUGAAGGAGCUGGACCUGAGUGGAAAUACUCCAGGAGUCUCUGGAGUAAAGCUGCUCUCUUCUGUACAAGAGGAUCCCCUCUAUACACUGGAGAGACUGCGGUUAAAUGAUUGACAGCUCACAGAUUCAGUGAAGGAAUGGCCUCAACUCAAAAUCCUUGGUUGUGGGAGUGUGCUGCAGUUAAAUGCUUCUGGGACAGUUACAAAAUUAAUUUCAAAGUGCUUCAAUAUAAAUAUUCAAUGCUUUGAAAUCGACAAUGAUAGCUCCUUGAAUCAGAGAACCCUGGCAAAGUGGUGCGAGGAAAAUAACCUCAACAAACACGUCACCGGGGGCCCACUGCCUGCCCUACAGGACAUCUACAGUACCCGGUGUCACAGGAAGGCCAAGAAGGUCAUCAAGGAUCUCAGCCACCCGAGCCACGGCCUGUUCACCUCGCUACCAUGUAGAAGGCAGAGACAGUACAGGUGCAUCAAAACCGGGACAGAGAAACAGGACAGCUUUUAUCUCCAGGCCAUCAGACUGUUAAAUAGGGGGAGGGGUGGGUGGUUGGAUAAAUGGGAUGAGAGGUUGAGGUCCACUUUUUAGUUUUCUUGUUUGAAUCCUGUACCAAUAUUUUUGAUAACUGUAACACCCCCUCCCCCCAACAAAAAAAUGGCAAAAUAAACUGGUCAUUCAGUUUGUUAUUACUUUUACUUCACCUCAUUACACUGUAGUAUAUGGACUGACUGUAGUAUAUGGACUGACUGUAGUAUAUGGACUGACUGUAGUAUAUGGACUGACUGUAGUAUAUGGACUGACUGUAGUAUAUGGACUGACUGUAGUAUAUGGACUGACUGUAGUAUAUGGACUGACUGUAGUAUAUAUGGACUGACUGUAGUAUAUGGACUGACUGUUACCCCUGGCUGGAAGGAUGACUUGUCAAUCUGUCAGUAAGUUGGCGUUAUAGGUAAUGUAAAUGUGGUUUGAUGUUGGUUGUUUCUGUUGCGUGUCAGUGGACUGUGUGUUCUGUUCGCUCAGUAAAAAGCCAGUUUAUAAUUACAUGUUAUAUCCAUCACAUAUUGACUAUAGUAGUAAGCUUCUUCAACUCAACAAACUUAUUGUCUUCUUAGUAACUCUGCUGUGCAUUUUACGAGACUGCUAGUGCAGCGGUUUAAGGUACUGCAUCUCAAUGCAAGAGCGGUUACUAAUGUCCCUGGUUCGAAUCCAGGCUGUAUCACAUAUGGGCCAUGAUUGGGAGUCCCAUAGGGCGGCGCGCAAUUGGCCCAGCGUCGUAUGGGUUUGGCCGGGGUAGGCCGUCAUUGUAAAUACAUUUGUUCUUUAUUGACUUGCCUAGUUAAAUAAACAAAUAUUUCAGUGUA
This is a long non-coding RNA of Oncorhynchus keta (chum salmon), 2056 nucleotides long. RefSeq lists it as uncharacterized. The record is from RefSeq and is a predicted model, not a curated record. NCBI's taxonomy places the organism in Eukaryota, Metazoa, Chordata, Actinopteri, Salmoniformes, Salmonidae. The transcript has 3 exons.